RNAcentral lists this ribosomal RNA (380 nucleotides) under Tremella huuskonenii. RNAcentral describes it as "LSU rRNA". It matches the Rfam family "Eukaryotic large subunit ribosomal RNA", at positions 38 to 412 of the family's 3401-position model. Lineage: Eukaryota; Fungi; Basidiomycota; Tremellomycetes; Tremellales; Tremellaceae. The record is from RNAcentral.
GCAUAUCAAUAAGCGGAGGAAAAGAAACUAACAAGGAUUCCCCUAGUAGCGGCGAGCGAACCGGGAUGAGCUCAAAUUUGUAAUCUGGCGUCCUCCGGGCGUCCGAGUUGUAAUCUAUAGAAGCGUCUUCCGUGCCGGACCGCGUCCAAGUCCCUUGGAACAGGGCGUCAAAGAGGGUGACAAUCCCGUGCUUGAUGCGACGACCGGUGCACUGUGAUACGCUCUCUACGAGUCGAGUUGUUUGGGAAUGCAGCUCAAAGUGGGUGGUAAAUUCCAUCUAAAGCUAAAUAUUGGCGAGAGACCGAUAGCGAACAAGUACCGUGAGGGAAAGAUGAAAAGCACUUUGGAAAGAGAGUAAAACAGUAUGUGAAAUUGUUGAA